GGGACGGUCGCCGGUGUGCACCCGCUGGUGGGACAGCAGCUUGGUGGAGCAGGUGAAGCCCUUGCCGCACUGGGUGCAGGUGAAGGGGCGCUCGCUGGUGUGGGUGCGCUAGUGCAACAGCAGGCUGUGGGAUUGGGUGAAGCCCUUGCUACACUGGGCGCAGGUGUAGGGGCGCUCGCCGGUGUGGGUGCGCUGGUGCAACAACAGGUUGCUGGACUGGGUGAAGCCCUUGCCGCACUGGGCGCAGGUGUAGGGGCGCUUGCCAGUGUGGGUUCGCUGGUGCUCCAGCACGUGACUAGACUGGGUGAAGUCCUUGCUGCACAGGGCGCAGGUGUAGGGGCGCUCGCCGGUGUGGAUGCGCUGGUGGGAGAGCAGGUUGCUGGAGGAGGUGAAUCCCUUGCCGCUCUGGGUGCAGGUAUAGUGGCGCUCACCGGUGUGGGGUGCUGGUAUUGCAGCAGGCUGCUGGAAUGGGUGAAGUCCUUGCCGCACUGGGCGCAGGUGUAGGGGCGCUCCCCUGUGUGGGUGUACUGGUGCUGCUUCAGCUCUGGCGACGACUUGAAGCCUUUGCCGCAGUCGGAGCAGGUGAAGGGCCGCUAACUGCUGUGCACCCUCUGGUGGUUCCUCAGCCCCGACAACUGGGCAA
This is a long non-coding RNA of Amblyraja radiata (thorny skate), 643 nucleotides long. RefSeq lists it as uncharacterized. NCBI's taxonomy places the organism in Eukaryota, Metazoa, Chordata, Chondrichthyes, Rajiformes, Rajidae. The transcript is spliced from 4 exons. The record is from RefSeq and is a predicted model, not a curated record.